GGAAAAGAAGAGAUGGAAGGAAACUGUUGCUUCAUUUUCUGUUCAUGGAAGGGGAGAGAGAAUAUCUGAGUUUGGUGGGAGCAGGCACAGACAGCAGAAGGUAAUUAUGCAGCCAAAUUCAGACUUGGGAGAAACACAACAACUGUGAUAGGUGAUUCCAGGACAGGGAAGUGUGCUCCUGACGGAACAUUCCUGGCCACCCAGACCACUUGUCCAGACGUGGAACUCCCAACAGUAGCUUAGAGCUCAUACAAUACCAAGCACUGCAACCGCGCAGAGUUUUCUCAGUUUGAAGUCACGGCUGAGGUGUGAAGGUGUCAUCUGGAUUUGGGAUUUUGUCUGAAUUUAUCUUACGUUUAAUAAUUUUUUGGCAAUGCUAGGCCAGAGUUAUUCUUUAUGCACAGCAAGCAUGUUUCCAAGAUGAAGCACAAAUGCUUUUAUGGGCUUCCAGGGCAGGGGAUGUUGCAUGCUCAAUGUAUAUAUUCUAUUCAAAUGUGGAAUGAAUAAUGAAAAGAUGGUUCUUUCCUUGUAUGUUAUUUUGGAUAUGUGGCUGGUCAAAGACUCCUAUAAGGACCAAUAAAAAGGAAGGAUCAUUGGAUUCUAUACUGUCAAUGUCUGACUUUGUCUUGGAAAAAUUGC
RNAcentral lists this long non-coding RNA (639 nucleotides) under Homo sapiens (human). RNAcentral describes it as "HSALNT0119123". Lineage: Eukaryota; Metazoa; Chordata; Mammalia; Primates; Hominidae. The record is from RNAcentral.